This 207-nucleotide ribosomal RNA is filed under the name uncultured bacterium. RNAcentral's name for it is "partial 16S ribosomal RNA". It matches the Rfam family "Bacterial small subunit ribosomal RNA", at positions 568 to 774 of the family's 1533-position model. The record is from RNAcentral.
UCUGUAGGUGGUUUAGUAAGUCUCCUGUUAAAGAUCAGGGCUUAACCCUGAGUCGGCAGUGGAAACUACUGAGCUUGAGUACGGUAGGGGCAGAGGGAAUUCCCGGUGUAGCGGUGAAAUGCGUAGAGAUCGGGAAGAACACCAAUGGCGAAAGCACUCUGCUGGGCCGAAACUGACACUGAGAGACGAAAGCUAGGGGAGCGAAUG